Molecule: ribosomal RNA, 758 nt
Filed under: Cladosporium sp. 3 BRO-2013
Lineage: Eukaryota; Fungi; Ascomycota; Dothideomycetes; Cladosporiales; Cladosporiaceae
Description: eukaryotic LSU rRNA
Rfam family: 5.8S ribosomal RNA (bases 254-407)
Source: RNAcentral
ACGACCACCCAGGGCCGGAAAGUUGGUCAAACCCGGUCAUUUAGAGGAAGUAAAAGUCGUAACAAGGUCUCCGUAGGUGAACCUGCGGAGGGAUCAUUACAAGUGACCCCGGCUACGGCCGGGAUGUUCAUAACCCUUUGUUGUCCGACUCUGUUGCCUCCGGGGCGACCCUGCCUUCGGGCGGGGGCUCCGGGUGGACACUUCAAACUCUUGCGUAACUUUGCAGUCUGAGUAAACUUAAUUAAUAAAUUAAAACUUUUAACAACGGAUCUCUUGGUUCUGGCAUCGAUGAAGAACGCAGCGAAAUGCGAUAAGUAAUGUGAAUUGCAGAAUUCAGUGAAUCAUCGAAUCUUUGAACGCACAUUGCGCCCCCUGGUAUUCCGGGGGGCAUGCCUGUUCGAGCGUCAUUUCACCACUCAAGCCUCGCUUGGUAUUGGGCAACGCGGUCCGCCGCGUGCCUCAAAUCGUCCGGCUGGGUCUUCUGUCCCCUAAGCGUUGUGGAAACUAUUCGCUAAAGGGUGUUCGGGAGGCUACGCCGUAAAACAACCCCAUUUCUAAGGUUGACCUCGGAUCAGGUAGGGAUACCCGCUGAACUUAAGCAUAUCAAUAAGCGGAGGAAAAGAAACCAACAGGGAUUGCUCUAGUAACGGCGAGUGAAGCAGCAAUAGCUCAAAUUUGAAAUCUGGCGUCUUCGACGUCCGAGUUGUAAUUUGUAGAGGAUGCUUCUGAGUGGCCACCGACCUAAGUUCCUUGGAACA